RNAcentral lists this ribosomal RNA (273 nucleotides) under Triticum aestivum (bread wheat). Its description in RNAcentral is "partial small subunit ribosomal RNA". Lineage: Eukaryota; Viridiplantae; Streptophyta; Magnoliopsida; Poales; Poaceae. The record is from RNAcentral.
AUGUCCCGGGCUGAAGUUCGCACCACUUUCCUAGAGGAUCUUGCAGAGGAUUACCAUGGGGACACUUAUCACUUGAUUGCCAGGAACUGCUACCAUUUCACAGCUGACGUCUGCAAGCACUUCACGGGAAAGCCAACUCCUGGAUGGGUGAAUCGACUUGCCAGAUUAGCACUAUGUUCCAUCCGCAACUCUGUGCUGACUGAAAACAUCAAGGUUUCAGCGGUUAGAGGUGAAACUGCACACCUUGAAUUCUCUGGGCAAUAUUCACAUUAG